UCCUCAGCUCCUCUCGCUUCAGCCCAUCAAAAGGGCUCAUGGCCACCCUGCCAUUUGUAAGUCAAAGACCAGGACCAAAUUAAACUCGAGAGGGCACAGCAUCCAGCACCUGUGCUGGGAUCCCUGGGGCAGAGAGGAGAAACCAGAGAGAGUCUACGUGGUCUCCUCAGGUGGCAGGGCAGACACUGGCAGGCGGAUCAGGAACUCUCAUUCAUUGCUGUUGGGAAUGCAAAAUGGAGCAGCCACUUUGGAAGACAGUUUGGCAGUUUCUGACACAAGCUAAACAUACUCUUGCUAUACGAUCCAGCAAUCAUGCUCCCAGCCCCACAGGACCUCCAGCCUUUGUCUUCUUAAGGAGGGGAAGAGCAUCUUCAGCCAGCAGACAGGAAGGUGGGAUGCACUCGCCAUGUAUCUCCUGAGCCCCUGCUGGACACCGGACAGGCUGGUGGACUGCCCGCGACCUCUUUCAUCAGCACCCCCAAGAAUGGAAAGUGGAAGAAUGUCCUCAAGCUAGCAAGGACCUGGGCAAAGGGAAUCCAGAAUUACCUGUGUAUCCACCUUAGGGCUGUGAGGGGCGAGGAGGUGGCCCAUGGUAGGCAGGGAGCUGAGCAUUUUCACGUGCUCUUCACAGGUUUCUCCCCAUGGCCCCAGGGGCUGGGUCUCUCAUCAUGCCCAUUUUCAAGGUCACAGUGAUCACCUGCCUGAAAUUAUACAGUGAGAAAGGGGUUGGGCAGAAAAUCCAUGCUCCUUGUCAUUACAGGCAGUACCAAGCAAGACCAACAACACUGCCUGUGCUGACAGGAGCAUCUUGACCUCAAAGAAGCAGAAACAUGAAGGGUCUCACUUGGGCUGCUACCGCUGCUAACGUCACAUACUAACCCUACCACGUCAAAGGCAGAGAGUGAUGACUGAUUCUUGCCAUCUGCCUGUUUAGUUACAGAAAACUUUCCCAAACGCCACCCGCCUCCUAUAGCAGGCACCCUCUAAGGCCCUCUUGGCCAGAACUGGGUCAAGUGCCCUCCUCACCCCCAACCAAUCCUAGCAAAGUGGAAGGGAAGGACCAUGUUCGAGUUCCUCCCAGCACAAUUCAUU
This 1092-nucleotide long non-coding RNA is filed under the name Equus asinus (donkey). RNAcentral describes it as "lncRNA (ENSEASG00005024106.1)". The record is from RNAcentral. Lineage: Eukaryota; Metazoa; Chordata; Mammalia; Perissodactyla; Equidae.